Molecule: small RNA, 38 nt
Filed under: Arabidopsis thaliana (thale cress)
Lineage: Eukaryota; Viridiplantae; Streptophyta; Magnoliopsida; Brassicales; Brassicaceae
Description: ATSL181730
Source: RNAcentral
GUUCUGUUUGUAAUGCGGUGCCGUUUUUGGUUCUCCGG